UACGUAGGGGGCAAGCGUUGUCCGGAUUUAUUGGGCGUAAAGAGCGUGUAGGCGGCCAUACAGGUCAGCUGUGAAAACUCGAGGCUCAACCUCGAGACGCCGAUGGAAACCAUCUGACUAGAGUCCGGAAGAGGAGAGUGGAAUUCCUGGUGUAGCGGUGAAAUGCGCAGAUAUCAGGAAGAACACCCGUGGCUAAGGCGGCUCUCUAGUACGGUACUGACGCUGAGACGCGAAAGCGUGGGGAGCGAACAGG
Molecule: ribosomal RNA, 253 nt
Filed under: uncultured bacterium
Lineage: Bacteria
Description: partial 16S ribosomal RNA
Rfam family: Bacterial small subunit ribosomal RNA
Source: RNAcentral